GUGAGUUCAAGACCAUUAUGGGCUACAUAGUGAAUUCCAGUAUAGUACUCAUCACCUGUUUUCAGAUGGUGCUGUCAAACAACCAAUUGACCAAACAAGACACAAGGUGGUGCUUGGCUCCUUGGGACCUUGUGAGUUGCUGCGCAAAGUGGGUUUCUGAACUGUUUCACCCAGGUGACAACCUCACUGGUCAAAGGUGACUUCACGGGCUAUAACUUCCCUGUUUCUAGGUGAGGAUGAACACCAAGACUGAUGUAAGGCCCAAACUGAAGGAACAGCUAGGAGAGUGAGUCAGUACAGCUGACUGCUGUGUUCUAUGGGCUCUGCACCUCCAGAUCCAACCAGCUCCAGGUUAGAAACAUUUGGAAAAAGGAUUGCAUUCUUGUCAUUCCCUAGCAAUGCAGUGUAGCAAUCAUUUGAUAGCAUUCACAUUGUAUUAGGUAUUGCAGUAAUCUAGAGAUGAUUUAAGAUAUACGAGAGGAUAUGUGUAAGUUAUAUACAAAUAUUUGGCCGUUUUAGAAUAGGGACUUGAGUAUGUAUGGAUUUUGAUAUCUGAGGGCAUUCCUGGAACUAGUACCAAGGGACAAAUGCACAGGGAAAAUCGAAAUCUUUUUCCUUUUGUGUGUGUGUGUGUGUG
Molecule: long non-coding RNA, 637 nt
Organism: Fukomys damarensis (Damara mole-rat)
Lineage: Eukaryota; Metazoa; Chordata; Mammalia; Rodentia; Bathyergidae
Exons: 3
Source: RefSeq, a predicted model, not a curated record